ACAGGCUUGAGCCUUUUGGCUAAGAUCAAGUGUAGUAUCUGUUCUUAUCAGUUUGAUCACUUUUUAAUUAAAUAACUUGUCCUUGUCAAAUUAAUUUGUAAAUUUCU
Molecule: small nuclear RNA, 107 nt
Organism: Callithrix jacchus (white-tufted-ear marmoset)
Lineage: Eukaryota; Metazoa; Chordata; Mammalia; Primates; Cebidae
Gene: U2
Rfam family: U2 spliceosomal RNA
About the family: U2 is a small nuclear RNA (snRNA) component of the spliceosome (involved in pre-mRNA splicing). Complementary binding between U2 snRNA (in an area lying towards the 5' end but 3' to hairpin I) and the branchpoint sequence (BPS) of the intron results the bulging out of an unpaired adenosine, on the BPS, which initiates a nucleophilic attack at the intronic 5' splice site, thus starting the first of two transesterification reactions that mediate splicing.
Source: Ensembl